AUUGCCUCAGUAACGGCGAGUGAAGCGGCAAAAGCUCAAAUUUGAAAUCUGGCGCCCUUCUUGGGUGUCCGAGUUGUAAUUUGAAGAUGGCGACUGUGGGGCUGGCCUUUAUCUAUGUUCCUUGGAACAGGACGUCACAGAGGGUGAGAAUCCCGUCUGAUGAGGUGACCCAGCUCUUUGUACAGUGCCUUCGACGAGUCGAGUUGUUUGGGAAUGCAGCUCUAAGUGGGUGGUAAAUUCCAUCUAAAGCUAAAUAUUGGCGAGAGACCGAUAGCGAACAAGUACAGUGAUGGAAAGAUGAAAAGAACUUUGAAAAGAGAGUGAAAAAGUACGUGAAAUUGUUGAAAGGGAAGGGUAUUAGAUCAGACUUGGUGUGCGGUUGAUUAGCUUCCCCUUGUGGGUUGUGUACUCGGCGUGCGCUGGGCCAGCAUCGAUUCGGAGCGGCAGGAUAAUGGCGGGGGGAACGUGGCAGCUGUCUUUGGCAGCUGUGUUAUAGCCCUUUGCAGAUGCUGCCAGCCUGGAUCGAGGACUGCGUCUUUUGACUAGGAUGCUGGCGUAAUGAUCUAAUAUCGCCCGUCUUGAAACACGGACCAAGGAGUCUAACGUCUAUGCGAGUGUUUGGGUGUAAAACCCGUACGCGUAAUGAAAGUGAACGUAGGUGGGGGGCCUUUCGGGGCCGCACCAUCGACCGAUCCUGAUGUUUUCGGAUGGAUUUGAGUAAGAGCAUAGCUGUUGGGACCCGAAAGAUGGUGAACUAUGCCUGAAUAGGGUGAAGCCAGAGGAAACUCUGGUGGAGGCUCGUAGCGGUUCUGACGUGCAAAUCGAUCGUCGAAUUUGGGUAUAGGGGCGAAAGACUAAUCGAACCAUCUAGUAGCUGGUUCCUGCGA
Molecule: ribosomal RNA, 887 nt
Filed under: Wickerhamomyces canadensis
Lineage: Eukaryota; Fungi; Ascomycota; Saccharomycetes; Phaffomycetales; Wickerhamomycetaceae
Description: LSU rRNA
Rfam family: Eukaryotic large subunit ribosomal RNA
Source: RNAcentral